This 465-nucleotide ribosomal RNA is filed under the name Vreelandella stevensii. RNAcentral describes it as "partial 16S ribosomal RNA". It matches the Rfam family "Bacterial small subunit ribosomal RNA", at positions 338 to 795 of the family's 1533-position model. Lineage: Bacteria; Pseudomonadati; Pseudomonadota; Gammaproteobacteria; Oceanospirillales; Halomonadaceae. The record is from RNAcentral.
CCUACGGGUGGCAGCAGUGGGGAAUAUUGGACAAUGGGCGAAAGCCUGAUCCAGCCAUGCCGCGUGUGUGAAGAAGGCCUUCGGGUUGUAAAGCACUUUCAGUGGGGAAGAAAGCCUUGGGGCUAAUACCCUCGAGGAAGGACAUCACCCACAGAAGAAGCACCGGCUAACUCCGUGCCAGCAGCCGCGGUAAUACGGAGGGUGCGAGCGUUAAUCGGAAUUACUGGGCGUAAAGCGCGCGUAGGCGGUCUGAUAAGCCGGUUGUGAAAGCCCCGGGCUCAACCUGGGAACUGCAUCCGGAACUGUCAGGCUAGAGUGCAGGAGAGGAAGGUAGAAUUCCCGGUGUAGCGGUGAAAUGCGUAGAGAUCGGGAGGAAUACCAGUGGCGAAGGCGGCCUUCUGGACUGACACUGACGCUGAGGUGCGAAAGCGUGGGUAGCAAACAGGAUUAGAUACCCCAGUAGUC